GCACUGUCAUGGAUGCUAGAGAGGCCAUCGAGGAGGGAGUGAACCACAUGUGGACCGUGUCUGCCUUCCAGCAGCAUCCCCGCACCGUGUUUGUGUGUGACGAGGAUGCCACCUUGGAGCUGAAAGUGAAGACUGUCAAGUAUUUCAAAGGUUUAAUGCUUGUUCAUAACAAGUUGGUGGACCCCUUGUACAGUAUCAAAGAGAAAGAAACUGAGAAAAGCCAAUCUUCGAAGAAACCAUACAGCGAUUAGCCUGUGCUGGGACCUAGUGUCAAGUACCCAUAGGGAAAGGCAGGUCUUUCUGGAAAUUGUCUUUAGAAGAAAGAAUUGUAUUUCUUUAAUCUAGUAUGGUUACUCCAGAUAAGUGGGUGAACUUAUUGUUCUUGGCCAUGAGGCUGGGAGCCUAGUCACGGAGUUUAGCUAUAGGGAGAAUGUUUGUAACUUAAUCAGAAAAAAAAUAUCUGCAAAAUGU
This 471-nucleotide long non-coding RNA is filed under the name Homo sapiens (human). RNAcentral's name for it is "long non-coding RNA NONHSAT204808.1". The record is from RNAcentral. Lineage: Eukaryota; Metazoa; Chordata; Mammalia; Primates; Hominidae.